Molecule: non-coding RNA, 4117 nt
Organism: Podarcis muralis (Common wall lizard)
Lineage: Eukaryota; Metazoa; Chordata; Lepidosauria; Squamata; Lacertidae
Source: RefSeq, a predicted model, not a curated record
UAUGAUCCUUGCUCCACUCCCUUCAGCCUGAAAUAGGGUUAUGUCAAGGGAGAGGUUCCUUGCUGGGAUCUUUUAAUGGAUUUCUCUGUACAGUUGCCACAGUCCUAAUGCCUCAGGUGGAUCCUUUUUUGGUAAGAAAGUGCAUUUACAGUUGUGUGUCUCUGCACCCUUCUUGGGCAACGAUAAAAAAGAAAAAGAAAACCCAAUGUGUGCACACACCUAUCUGAUGGAUUCCCUGUCAGUACUGUACUUAAUCAGCAAUAGAGAAUCAUCAAAUUAGACAGUGGGGACAUACUCAAAAGGCAACGCCUACUGGUAUGAACAAGAAAGACUUAAGUUGCUCAUAUACAAAGUCAAAUACGUGUGGAUGUGGACUGCUUUGGUCUAAUUUGAAUGGGAGGAAGGUGAAUUAAGAGCUAAAUAAUGUUCAAAUGUGGACAAGCCUUUUUUCCCCUGUAGAGGGUUGCGUUACUUCAGAGGAAAUCUGUCAGCCGCCACUGCAUCUGAAAGCAUUUCUCUGUUACUCCUUUUUACUUCCCCCCCCUGUAAAUCUCUUUUUCUUUAUUUCUCUGACAUCUCUUUAUCUCUUCUUCCUUGCAUAGUGGACUUACCAGGAGAGAUUGCUCAUGUCAGAGGUCUGAAGUUGCAGAGGGCUUUUGAAUUAAGAAAAAGUCUAUGUAAAAUGUAGCCUAGGGCCAUGGAUUGACCACCAUUGUUUCGGGGUGGGGGGAUCUUAGUGAUUGUCCCUCAAUCUGACUGCCCCCCCCCCCAUUCUUCAAGGCAGGGACUACUAGGCUGCUCUGUGGGACCUGUUUCUCUGGUGACACAUCACUGCGCCAGGUUGGGAAUUAUACACAAACACAAAACAUACAAAUGUGUUGAUUAAAAAAACUCAGUUCAUCACUGCCAAGUAUACUACAUUGUAGGUACAUCACUUUCCAUCUUCAGAGUUGCUUUUGAAAGGAAUUUUAAUAUAUUUUUAAGGCUGGGUGGGGACCCACUUGCAAAUGAAAUCAUUCUGGUGCAGUUCCUGGUCAGCUGAGUACACGGCUGCAACUUUAGCAACAGCAUUGCUGUCAUACUUUAUUUACUCAUCUCAUAAUAAAACUAAAUCGGCUGGACGUGGAUUUUUGGUCUUUUGUUUCAACAUCUCCACCCCACCCACCAGUGUCUGCGCUAUAGUUCUGAAAUAAUACACUGUCUAGGAUGUCUUAAUGGCUCUUUUCCGCUCGCUAUCCUAUAUUUGCUGCAGUCACAAGUGGCAUGUUCCAGGCUAAAAGGCGGAUGUUUUUCACUUCAGUUGUGAAAAAAAGCCCUAGGGCUUUGUAAAAUAGUUUUAGAGGAAUCUAGUUUUGUCAUCUUUACUGUGAAGUGGACAGGGUGCAGUUCUCCAGUUACACUGCCUGUAAAUGGUGAAAUUGCUGGGGCAUUCCAGGCUGGAGCACCUUAGCCAGCGAAGCCAGAGGAAGAAACCAUGUCAGAAUGUUGCCUGUAUUAUUUAAUCAUGCUAGGACUAACCAGCAUUGGAAAACCAGUGCUAACAAUGGGAGGGUAUGCUCAUCAGAUCUCCAGGCAUUCCACAUAUGAGAUUGUAAUUCCUCAAAGAUUGACUGACAGGGUGAAGCGCUGGACGCAUUCUCAUAAGGAGUAUUUAGAUCAUCAGCUGUCUUACUUGAUCCAAACUGGAAACGGAACACAUAUCCUGAGAUUAAAGAAAAAUAAAAACCUUAUAGAUGAGAAUUUCAUACUAUAUACCUACAGAAAAGAUGGCAAAUUGGAGACUACUCCCUUCGAAGCGAAGGCCCACUGUUAUUACCGUGGAGUUGUUGAAGGGAUUGAGGACUCUCUGCUUGCUCUCAGUACCUGUGAUGGUCUUAGGGGAAUGCUCCAUAUUGGCAGCAAGCGAUAUGGCUUGGAACCAGUCAAUGGAUCAGAUCGAUUUGAGCACUUCUUCUAUGCAUUAGAAAACUCUCCCCAUGAGCCCUUUUCAUGUGGUGUGCCAAAUGAUGACCACGAGCAGAGCACAAAGACUUUUCUCAAAUACACAAAUAUCUCACACAGUCCCUUCAAGUCGGACAAAAUUCUAAGGAGAAGGCGAGCUGUUCUGCCAGAGAAAAGAUAUGUCGAACUGUAUAUGGUUGUUGAUAAAAACAGGUACUUGCGGAAGAAAUCUGAUGCUGAAGCUGUACAAAAGGAAACAGUAGAACUGGUUAAUUAUGUUGAUGGGAUGUUCAGUCCUUUAAAUAUUCAAGUUGUCCUAAUUGGGCUAGAAAUAUGGACUCAAGGAAACCCUAUAGAUGUGGAUAGUGGUUCAGCUGGAGAUGUGCUGGGCAAAUUCGCAUCCUGGAGGGAGACAAAUCUCCUGAAGAGAUCACGAAAUGAUGUCAGCCACCUCAUCAUAGGGAGAAGUGCAUUUGGUGCAACGGUUGGAAUGGCUUUUGUUGGCACAGUCUGUAGUCCGAAUCACGGAGGGUCAAUCAGCACAUUUAACCAUGACGCUGUGAUAGCUCACGCUACAGUUGUUGCACAUGAGCUAGGACACAAUUUGGGAAUGAAUCAUGAUGACGGAAGAUGUCCAGGUCAAUACAUUAUGCACGGUUCAGAUAAUGGGUCCAAGAACUUCAGCAGCUGCAGCGCCAAUGAUUUUGAGGACCUCAUCUUGAGAGGCCGAGGAACCUGUCUUCGAAAUCCUCCCAAGCCAAGUGAUAUUUAUACAGAGCCCGCCUGUGGCAACAACAUUGUGGAUAAAAAUGAAGAAUGUGAUUGUGGCACACCAGAAGAGUGUACCAACCCUUGUUGCGAUGCUGCCACGUGCAAACUAAAAGCUGGAUCAGAGUGUGCUGAAGGAUUGUGCUGUGAGAAGUGUCAAUUCAAGGUUGCAGGAGUGCAGUGCAGGCCAAAAAUGACUGCCUGUGAUCUCCCUGAGUAUUGCAAUGGAACAUAUCCCAACUGCCCAGAUGAUGUGUAUAUCAUGGAUGGCUACCCAUGCAACGAUAUGAAAGACUAUUGCUAUGCUGGAAUUUGUCAGAAUUAUGAUUCUCAGUGUGAAUCCCUCUUUGGAAAGGGAGCAAAGAAAGGGCCAAAUGCGUGUUUUGAAACAGCCAAUAGUAAUGGAGACAGGCUCGGCAACUGUGGAAUGUCAAAAGGAGAGUUUGUUAAAUGUUCUCAAGCCAAUAGCCUAUGUGGCAAGAUUCACUGCACAUCUGUCAGUCAACAGAAUCUUCCAUCCCAGAUAUACAGCCAGAUUCAAAAUGGCGUUAGGUGUGUGACUACUGAUUUUGCUCUGGGAUCAGAUGUUCCCGAUCCAGCUUUGGUUAACAGAGGCACAGCUUGUGCAGAAGGGAAGGCCUGUGUUGAUUUCAAGUGUGUCAAUGCAAGCCUGCUUGGCUACAAUUGUGAUGUAAAGAAAACAUGCAAUGACCGUGCAGUAUGUAACAACAAAGGCAAUUGUCACUGUGAUCCUGGAUGGGCACCUCCUUAUUGUGACAAAUCUGGAUACGGUGGUAGCAUAGACAGUGGCCCAACUCACAUAGAUACAUCACUUCGUGAUGGCCUGCUGGUGUUUUUUCUGCUUGUGUUGCCUCUGCUAAUUAUAGUAGCGGUUGCAAUUGUCAAGAGGGAUGCAAUUAAAAGACGUAUUUUCAGAGGACGGAGAAGGCGCCAAAGGGCUGAAAAUGCACGGCAAACAGGACAAAGCAGCACUCCAGGUGGACCAAAGCCACCAGUAAAUAAUAGGCGGGUAAGAAUGUUUAUUUUUUUCAUUGCAAUGUCUUCUUUGAAGUUACUGCUGAUGAAUGAAGUUUGGGCUAAUGUUUCGGCUCUCCAUAGGCGCUGUGAAUUUGACAAUGAUUUUCCAUUCAGAAAUGCAAUUCUGCAGAAGGUUAGAUCAGUUACAUUAAAACAGUGCAUGGUAUUUUGCUAGAAUGAAAAGAUGCAGUAAGUUUCACUGCUGUGGUAAGAACCAUUAAUUCUCCUUACGAUAUAUUUCUUUUCCCUCUGCAGCCUACGACGUCAAAUUCUGGAAUCUUUACGAUAUCACACUUUCCUGCUCCAAGGCCACCCAUACAAGCAAACCUUGGGCCACGUCCAUCAAGACCUCCUUUACGACCACCAAUCC